AGCAUUGACUUAUGAUUAAUUGCAAACAACUAAUUUAAUGUUUUAUUAUGAUAGGAAAUAUAAAGUAGUAACUACUGAGUCCCAUAACAGCAUGUAACUGUUUGAUUCAAAAAGACUGUGAUAGCACAAAGUUAAAUAAUGGCAGAGUGCUUUAUGAAUUAUGAUUUGACUUGACUCAAAUAAGUACUGACAUAUUACCUUGGAGAUUAACUAUAUUUUAUGUGUUUUUAUUGCAGAAAGUGAACAUGAGCCUGGUGAUACCUUCAUCCUCUCGACAGAGUCUGUUGUGGCAUUGGCCUGGUGGAUGAGGAUACUCCAGAUGCUGACGUCAUUCCUGGAGAACAUGGGAGACGGUAGAGAUGUUCUACGGGACAGUAGGAUAAAGACAGAGAAACACUGUCAACUGUGAGAGAGAAUUACAUUAAUGAGGACAGCUUCUAACAGUGCCAAUACUAUGUGCCAAAACAUCCAUCUAUGUGUAAAUACAAUACGUUUUUAUCUUUAUUAAUGGAAAGUCAUGAGAUUUUUAAUGUUUGUGUCACGUGCAGGCAAACAUCGACACCUCAGGCAAUCCGACCUGGCUUUCUCCACACUUGAUUUAGUGAUUUACUUUCAUAAUAUGACACCAAAUCCACUACCUGCAAGCGUCAACCACACACUAAAACAGGUAUUUUGUCUUCGGGCUGCUGAGAGUUUUAACUGUUUAAAAGCUGCAAAACAGAUAACAUAGCUUGACCCACCAUUUGGAAACAAAGUCAUCUGACACCUGUAAGCUAAUGAGCUGUCAGCUGCUCCGGUCAAGCCUCAUGCAAUAUCCAUGAAUGGAUGUACAACUGCAUGUGUGUUGGUUUCAAAGACUGGUUAUAAGAUGCACUCCUUAAAUUGUUCUUUUUUGCAAGUUCGGUUCAGCAACACUUCUCACAUAAUUAAGUUUGCAUACCAUUUAGAUUAAUUAAAUUCUGAUCUCUGUGUUAACUUUGCCACACACAGCCAAUUUCCAACUCCCUCUAAAUCUUAAACUUAGUCACAACAGAGACGUAAUUUAGUCAAGCAGCCCCGUUUAUCUUCCAGUCUUGCUGACAGCUGUAGUGUUGACAGAUUUACAACGUUUACUGGCUGGAGGAAGAUGGUGUCCUCAACACAAAUAAAAACCUAAAUUAGCUAAAUAAACAGAGAGGGAGAGAGUCUGGGUUUGCUCCAUACUAUACUACAUGCUAGCCUCUGCUCAAAAACGCAUUUAAGCAUGGAGGAUUUCUUUAAUUAGACUGAAAAACUGAAACAUGAUAAUGGGGUUUUCUAUUUUCUGAAGUAAACUGGAUCUACAGCUGGACUUGUACAUGACUGAAGAUUUAUGAGACCUGUAGUUUUUACAACUGCUGAAUAAAACCAUCCUUUCUUUGA
Molecule: long non-coding RNA, 1401 nt
Organism: Seriola aureovittata
Lineage: Eukaryota; Metazoa; Chordata; Actinopteri; Carangiformes; Carangidae
Exons: 2
Source: RefSeq, a predicted model, not a curated record